This 460-nucleotide ribosomal RNA is filed under the name uncultured bacterium. RNAcentral's name for it is "partial 16S ribosomal RNA". It matches the Rfam family "Bacterial small subunit ribosomal RNA", at positions 338 to 795 of the family's 1533-position model. The record is from RNAcentral.
CCUACGGGGGGCUGCAGUGAGGAAUAUUGGUCAAUGGGCGCUAGCCUGAACCAGCCAAGUAGCGUGAAGGAUGACUGCCCUAUGGGUUGUAAACUUCUUUUAUAUGGGAAUAAAGUGCAGUAUGUAUACUGCUUUGCAUGUACCUUAUGAAUAAGGAUCGGCUAACUCCGUGCCAGCAGCCGCGGUAAUACGGAGGAUCCGAGCGUUAUCCGGAUUUAUUGGGUUUAAAGGGAGCGUAGGCGGGUUGUUAAGUCAGUUGUGAAAGUUUGCGGCUCAACCGUAAAAUUGCAGUUGAUACUGGCAGCCUUGAGUACAGUAGAGGUAGGCGGAAUUCGUGGUGUAGCGGUGAAAUGCUUAGAUAUCACGAAGAACUCCGAUUGCGAAGGCAGCCUGCUGGACUGUAACUGACGCUGAUGCUCGAAAGUGUGGGUAUCAAACAGGAUUAGAUACCCCGGUAGUC